UAAAAAGUUUAACCUGCCCACUGAUUAAAUAAAAAUAUUAAAUGGCCGCGGUAUUUUGACCGUGCAAAGGUAGCAUAAUCGUUAGUUUUUUAAUUGGAAUCUUGUAUGAAUGGUUGGACAAAAGAAAAUCUGUCUCUAUACUGUUUAUUGAAUUUAACUUUUAAGUGAAAAGGCUUAAAUAGAUUAAAGGGACGAUAAGACCCUAUAAAGCUUAAUAUUAAUACUCAUUUAGUUGAAUUUAAAAUUAUAAAAACUUAGUGACUAAAUUUAUUUUAUUGGGGCGAUAAGAGUAAAAUUAUUGUUAACUGCUUAAUUUUUAAUACAUUUAUAAAUGUUUAUAUUUUUAAAUGAUCCUAAUGUAAAGAUUAAAAGUUUAAGUUACUUUAGGGAUAACAGCGUUAUUUUUCUUAAGAGUACUUAUCGAAAGAAAAGUUUGCGACCUCGAUGUUGAAUUAAAAUAUCUUUAUAAUUGUAGCAGUUAUACGAGUAGGUCUGUUCGACCUUUAAAAUUUUACAUGAUUUGA
Molecule: ribosomal RNA, 524 nt
Filed under: Hemigrapsus nudus
Lineage: Eukaryota; Metazoa; Arthropoda; Malacostraca; Decapoda; Varunidae
Description: partial large subunit ribosomal RNA
Rfam family: Bacterial large subunit ribosomal RNA
Source: RNAcentral